This 72-nucleotide transfer RNA is filed under the name Mus musculus (house mouse). RNAcentral describes it as "tRNA-Ala". The record is from RNAcentral. Lineage: Eukaryota; Metazoa; Chordata; Mammalia; Rodentia; Muridae.
GAGACAUAGCUCAGCUGGUAAAGUGCUUGCCUGGCCAGCACAGGGACCUGAGUUUGAUCCUCAGAUGCCACA